This 460-nucleotide ribosomal RNA is filed under the name uncultured bacterium. RNAcentral's name for it is "partial 16S ribosomal RNA". It matches the Rfam family "Bacterial small subunit ribosomal RNA", at positions 338 to 795 of the family's 1533-position model. The record is from RNAcentral.
CCUACGGGAGGCUGCAGUGAGGAAUAUUGGUCAAUGGGCGCUAGCCUGAACCAGCCAAGUAGCGUGAAGGAUGACUGCUCUAUGGGUUGUCAGCUUCUUUUAUAUGGGAGUAAAGUGCAGUAUGUAUACUGCUUUCCAUGUACCUUUUGACUAAGGAUCGGCUAACUCCGUGCAAGCAGCCGCGGUAAUAAGGAGUAUCCGAGCGUUAUCCGGAUUUAUUGGGUUUAAAGGGAGCGUAGUCGGGUGGUUAAGUCAGUCGUGAAAGUUUGAGGCUCAACCGUAAUAUUGCAGUUGAUACUGGCAUCCUUGAGUACAGUAGAGGUAGGCGGAAGUCGUGGUGUAGCGGUGAAAUGCGUAGAUAUCACGAAGAACUCCGAUUGCGAAGGCAGCCUGCUGGACUGUAACUGACGCUGAUGCUCGAAAGUGUGGGUAUCAAACAGGAUUAGAUACCCGAGUAGUC